Molecule: ribosomal RNA, 474 nt
Filed under: uncultured bacterium
Lineage: Bacteria
Description: bacterial SSU rRNA
Rfam family: Bacterial small subunit ribosomal RNA
Source: RNAcentral
UUAUGGCUCAGGAUGAACGCUGGCGGCGUGCCUAACACAUGCAAGUCGAGCGAUUACUUCGGUAAAGAGCGGCGGACGGGUGAGUAACGCGUGGGUAACCUGCCUCAUACACAUGGAUAACAUACCGAAAGGUAUGCUAAUACAGGAUAAUAUAAGAGAUUCACAUGGAUUUUUUAUCAAAGCUCCGGCGGUAUGAGAUGGACCCGCGUCUGAUUAGCUAGUUGGUAAGGUAAUGGCUUACCAAGGCGACGAUCAGUAGCCGACCUGAGAGGGUGAUCGGCCACAUUGGAACUGAGACACGGUCCAAACUCCUACGGGAGGCAGCAGUGGGGAAUAUUGCACAAUGGGCGAAAGCCUGAUGCAAGCAACGCCGCGUGAGUGAUGAAGGCCUUCGGGUCGUAAAACUCUGUCCUCAAGGAAGAUAAUGACGGUACUUGAGGAGGAAGCCCCGGCUAACUACGUGCCAGCAGCAGC